AAAUAAACAGAGACAGUUGUGUGUUAUUUACCUGUGAUGAACAUCGAUUUUGUCUUAACACAGAUGAAUAAUGAUGACCACACAACACUGAAUUGACUUCCAUUGUACACAAAAACUAGACUCCAGGACCACGUGCAGGGGCUGAGAUGGCGUUAGGCGCCCGGGGUCGACCGUGGAAUCGUCGUACACCACCAGUUCUUUGGAAAAAAUGCCCUUGAAGGACUCUUUACUCUGCCG
This is a long non-coding RNA of Triplophysa dalaica, 237 nucleotides long. RefSeq lists it as uncharacterized. The record is from RefSeq and is a predicted model, not a curated record. The transcript is spliced from 3 exons. Lineage: Eukaryota; Metazoa; Chordata; Actinopteri; Cypriniformes; Nemacheilidae.